CGCCCUCACACAUGAUCUUCAUCACUGGCAAAUGAUUGAAUGCAGCUGAAGGUUUUGUUUUAAUGAUUUAAAGGAGAACAAAAGGAGAUGUUAGGAAGAUUGUUAGCCUCGGUCACCAUUCAUUUUCACUAAGAAAGUCAUACGGGUUUGGAACAACAUGAUGGUGAGUAAAUGA
Myxocyprinus asiaticus (Chinese sucker) is the source of this 175-nucleotide long non-coding RNA. RefSeq lists it as uncharacterized. The record is from RefSeq and is a predicted model, not a curated record. Lineage: Eukaryota; Metazoa; Chordata; Actinopteri; Cypriniformes; Catostomidae. The transcript is spliced from 3 exons.